GACAGAGGGCGCGAGCGUUAUUCGGAAUUACUGGGCGUAAAGGGUGCGCAGACGGUCUUGUAAGUCAGGAACUAAAAUCCAGGGCUCAACUCUGGGGCUGUUUUUGAUACUGCAUGACUAGAGAACGGGAGAGGUAGAUGGAAUUCCUAGUGGAGAGGUAAAAUUCGUUGAUAUUAGGAGGAACGCCAAAGGUGAAGACAAUCUACUGGAACGUUUCUGACGUUGAGGCACGAAAGCGUGGGGAGCAAAGAGG
This 253-nucleotide unclassified non-coding RNA is filed under the name uncultured bacterium. RNAcentral describes it as "contains 16S-23S intergenic spacer region". It matches the Rfam family "Bacterial small subunit ribosomal RNA", at positions 524 to 776 of the family's 1533-position model. The record is from RNAcentral.